GGAUCAAUGGAUCGGUCAUGCCUUGGUAUGUACUGGUCUUAUUGGUUCUCACCUUCUAAUGAACCAUAAUGUCAUUCAUUUGAUGUUAUGGGGAAUUAGGACUGUUACCUUGAAAAAAUUAGAGUGUUUAAAGCAGGCUAACGCUUGAAUACAUUAGCAUGGAAUAAUGAAAUAGGACAUCGCAUUCUAUUUUGUUGGUUUCUAGGAUCGAUGUAAUGAUUAAUAGGGAUAGUUG
This 235-nucleotide ribosomal RNA is filed under the name uncultured Glomus. RNAcentral's name for it is "partial 18S ribosomal RNA". The stretch from base 46 to 235 matches the Rfam family "Eukaryotic small subunit ribosomal RNA", at positions 693 to 884 of the family's 1831-position model. The record is from RNAcentral. Lineage: Eukaryota; Fungi; Glomeromycota; Glomeromycetes; Glomerales; Glomeraceae.